Molecule: long non-coding RNA, 809 nt
Filed under: Bos indicus x Bos taurus (hybrid cattle)
Lineage: Eukaryota; Metazoa; Chordata; Mammalia; Artiodactyla; Bovidae
Description: lncRNA (ENSBIXG00005001895.1)
Source: RNAcentral
CUCCGAAGAGACAAAGGGGGACAUCCUGUGUCCCAUGGGCCCGAGGGAUAUGGAAGUAGCUGAGAGAGCUGGACCUGGGGGAUCCUGGUGGUGGAGAAGAAAGGCCAGUGCAACAGUCGCCUUGAAUCCACAGUCAAGGACCAGAAAGGAUGCUGCACAUAGAGAAGGUAGGAGGUGGUCCUAAGAUGGCAGAGGAAAAGGACGGGGAACCACUUUCUCCCCAACAAAUUCAUCGAAAGAACAUUUCAACGCUGAGUAAAUUCCACAAAACAACUUUUGAAUGCUGGCAGAGGACAUCAGGCACCCAGAAAAGCAGCCCAUUGUCUUUGAAAGGAGAUGUUUUAUCAACGGUGCUAUACAGGUGGAGAAGUCUGGAGGCUACUAUAAAAAUAAGACUGAAAACCAGAAGCAGGAGGCUUAAGUCCAAAUCCUGAGAACACCAGAGAACUCCUGACUCCAGGGAACAUUAAUCGACAGGAGCUCAUCAAACGCCUCCAUACCUACACUGAAACCAAGCACCACCCAAGGGCCAACAAGUUCCAGAGCAAGACAUACCAUACAAAUUCUCCAACAACAUAGGAACACAGCCCUGAGCUUCAAUAUACAGGCUGCCCAAAGUCAAUCCAAACCCACUGACGUCUCAUAACUCAUUACUGGACACUUCAUUGCACUCCAUAGAGAAGAAAUCCAGCUCCACCCACCAGAACACCGACACAAGCUUCCCUAACCAGGAAACCUUGACAAGCCUCCCGUCCAAUCCCACCCACAGUAAGGAACCUCCACAAUAAAGAGAACUCCACAAACUGCCA